This 280-nucleotide ribosomal RNA is filed under the name uncultured bacterium. RNAcentral describes it as "partial 16S ribosomal RNA". It matches the Rfam family "Bacterial small subunit ribosomal RNA", at positions 30 to 316 of the family's 1533-position model. The record is from RNAcentral.
AUUGAACGCUGGCGGAAUGCUUUACACAUGCAAGUCGAACGGUAGAGGGGGCAACCCCUUGAGAGUGGCGAACGGGUGAGUAAUAUAUCGGAACGUGCCCAGUCGUGGGGAUAACGUAGCGAAAGUUACGCUAAUACCGCAUACGAUCUAAGGAUGAAAGCGGGGGGAUCGCAAGACCUCGCGCGAUUGGAGCGGCCGAUAUCAGAUUAGGUAGUUGGUGAGGUAAGGCUCACCAAGCAACGAUCUGUAGCUGGUCUGAGAGGACGACCAGCCACACUGG